This 29-nucleotide small RNA is filed under the name Bombyx mori (domestic silkworm). RNAcentral's name for it is "ovarian small RNA-26160". Lineage: Eukaryota; Metazoa; Arthropoda; Insecta; Lepidoptera; Bombycidae. The record is from RNAcentral.
UCAUCUAUCAAUGAUACGUCAGGCAGAGC